Molecule: non-coding RNA, 2044 nt
Organism: Chrysemys picta bellii (western painted turtle)
Lineage: Eukaryota; Metazoa; Chordata; Testudines; Emydidae
Source: RefSeq, a predicted model, not a curated record
GAUACCUCCUGAGGUCCCUUCCAACUCUGAGAUUCUAAAACUAUAUUGUGGACACUCAGGUGCAGGUUGGAGCCUGCACUCUGGCACUCUUCCAAGCCCCUGGGAACUGACAGCCCAAGCUUCAGUCCAAGCCCAGAUGUCUACACUGCAAUGUUAUAGCCCUGCAGGACGAGCCAAGUGAGCCUAAGUCUGCUGACCUGGGCCAGCUACAGGUCUCUUAUUGCAGUGUAGACAUGCCUAUAGGAUUUGGCUGAACUAAAGAGAGUAGUCUCAGGGUUAGCCACCAUGUUUUCUACCUUGACCUACCCAUGAGAGUCUCUGCUGCAGUCCCAUCUUAACACCUUUUGUCUUGAUUUCGCCGGUCAAGGGAUUAGCUAAAUCAAGGUAAAAAGUGUUAAUUUGCAGCUUCACUAAGAAAAAGGAAAGGCAACCUAACACGUGUGUGUUAGCCCCAACCUAACUUUGUCCUCUCUUCCUAAUCUAGGCAAACCAAGCCGCUGCUCUGAAACAAAAGCCUUUUGCCUGUGGUUGGGCAUAUUCCACUGCCUCUUCCAAAUAGCCCCUCCACAGCCCCUAACUCGGCUCUCUUCAGGUGUCAGCAGAUGGAAAGCAAGCAGGGUGUGGAAACACGGAGUGGACUAACACAAGGAUAUUACAGUGCAUCAGUUUCAAAUGUGUGCGUAUUCAUAAGUCUUCUGUCCACAUGUGACAGCUAACCUGACGGAUGGACAGGACAAUGGAUAUUUUAUGCAUCUGCUUUACUAGGAGAGUCAGUUUGCUAAGCUUCAGCGUAACAAGCACUGAUGAGGAUUUUCCUUCACGCUAAGCAGAGGCAAAUGGAAUUCCAGUGACACACAGCACAUACAAGGAAGAAGCCAAGGCCAGCCGUCACUGUGUCCAUUCAGACCGUGGGUCCAACUGUAACAUCUGGUGCCAACAUGAGCCCCAAAAUGCUAAACCAGGCACGUUUAAACAUAGGAGCCCAAGUCUGAAGACUAAGCUGUCUGCCUCCUGCUUCUGUACCCAACACGAACAGAAAUGGAGGAAAGGUGCAGACCCUUUGCUACAAGCUACAUUAAUGGUUUGACUCACUUCACAGGAUUUUCUCUGGAGUCUGCAUUUUGAAAAUACCUCGACCAAGAAAUAUGGACCUUGACAAACAAUAAUUGCUUACCCCAAUCUAUAGCAUCAAAAAGUGGUGUACGGGAUAGGUCCCUAGACUGCAUUGUCCAUGGUGAGGUCCAUCCUACUGCAGAACUAGAAACCUAACAGUUUACAGAGCCUGUUCCUUAAGAAGAUUACGGGCAGGAUCCUACAGCCACAGGAUUUACCCACAAAUACAUCCCUGGCUGCAGAACUGUGAUCCACUCAAAAGACAAUCCUACCCUUUAUGGUGAUGAAGAUAAACUUGAAAACAUGAGCAGUGUAACUACUGCAGCUUCAUCUGCCCGAGAUGGCAGAGAACCUGAAAGUGCCUCAGAUAUGAACGGCCCCCAGUCACCUCAACCAGGGCCCCAUGCUAAGACUCAGAUUGUCAAAUUUAGUAUUCCUCCUUCACCACCACCUCACCAGCCCAAACAGAGAGACAUGGAAUUCAGCAUUUUUGCCAUGGAAUAGUUAUUUGCUGCAGCCAGGUGCCUGACAUCUCGCUCUGCAGUUUCCUCACUGGGGUUAAGUUCAUUGUUUAUACUGCAUGUUCGCAGCACUGUUCCAUGGAAGCAAGCUGCAGAGGCUAGUGGACCAGAGCUGGAGUCCAGCUUGCAGCUAGGGACCCAGAAGGAUAGGUUGGCCAGCUGGGCUGCCUGUAGAACAUGCAGCAGCCAAGGCUUGGGAAGCCAGAGAGAUGAACUUCUGAGGUCAGCUCCAUGUUUGCCUCCCACCCCUAUUCCCAGCCCCACAUGAGAGGGAAGCGGUUCUGAACAGGACUGCCUGGGCAGUUGCAGAAGCAAAGGCCCAGGCUACCUGGAGAACGCAGUGAAAAGCACACCCUUGAAAAUAAUCAAUCAAUGAGAAUUUUCACUGAUGAGCCACAGCGUGGGGGGAG